AUUGAACGCUGGCGGCAUGCUUUACACAUGCAAGUCGAACGGUAACAGGCCUUCGGGUGCUGACGAGUGGCGAACGGGUGAGUAAUGCAUCGGAACGUGCCCAGAGGUGGGGGAUAACGCAGCGAAAGCUGUGCUAAUACCGCAUGUGAUCUGAGGAUGAAAGCGGGGGACCAGGCAGCAAUGUUUGGCCUCGCGCCUUUGGAGCGGCCGAUGUCAGAUUAGGUAGUUGGUGGGGUAAAGGCCUACCAAGCCGACGAUCUGUAGCUGGUCUGAGAGGACGACCAGCCACACUGGGACUGAGACACGGCCCAGACUCCUACGGGAGGCAGCAGUGGGGAAUGUUGGACAAUGGGCGCAAGCCUGAUCCAGCAAUGCCGCGUGCGGGAAGAAGGCCUUCGGGUUGUAAAACGCUUUUGUACGGAACGAAAAGGCUCUGGCUAAUACCUGGGGCUGAUGACGGUACCGUAAGAAUAAGCACCGGCUAACUACGUG
RNAcentral lists this ribosomal RNA (492 nucleotides) under uncultured bacterium. Its description in RNAcentral is "partial 16S ribosomal RNA". It matches the Rfam family "Bacterial small subunit ribosomal RNA", at positions 29 to 507 of the family's 1533-position model. The record is from RNAcentral.